This 132-nucleotide microRNA precursor is filed under the name Bombyx mori (domestic silkworm). RNAcentral describes it as "microRNA bmo-mir-3224 precursor". Lineage: Eukaryota; Metazoa; Arthropoda; Insecta; Lepidoptera; Bombycidae. The record is from miRBase by way of RNAcentral.
UGGCGCAGGAGGAGGGACGGUUACUCCCAUCAUCCUGGCCUUCUUGCGGUAGACCGGACACCGCCUAUCAACGGCGGCGUGGUCCUUCCCGCAAUUGGCGCAGGAGAAUGGGCCGUCCCUCGGCCUCGGGCA